GAUGAACGCUGGCGGCGUACCUAAUACAUGCAAGUCGAGCGAACAGACGAGGAGCUUGCUCCUCUGACGUUAGCGGCGGACGGGUGAGUAACACGUGGAUAACCUACCUAUAAGACUGGGAUAACUUCGGGAAACCGGAGCUAAUACCGGAUAAUAUAUUGAACCGCAUGGUUCAAUAGUGAAAGACGGUUUUGCUGUCACUUAUAGAUGGAUCCGCGCCGCAUUAGCUAGUUGGUAAGGUAACGGCUUACCAAGGCAACGAUGCGUAGCCGACCUGAGAGGGUGAUCGGCCACACGGGAACUGAGACACGGUCCAGACUCCUACGGGAGGCAGCAGUAGGGAAUCUUCCGCAAUGGGCGAAAGCCUGACGGAGCAACGCCGCGUGAGUGAUGAAGGUCUUCGGAUCGUAAAACUCUGCUAUUAGGGAAGAACAAAUGUGUAAGUAACUAUGCACGUCUUGACGGUACCUAAUCAGAAAGCCACGGCUAACUACGUG
This 497-nucleotide ribosomal RNA is filed under the name uncultured bacterium. RNAcentral's name for it is "partial 16S ribosomal RNA". It matches the Rfam family "Bacterial small subunit ribosomal RNA", at positions 28 to 507 of the family's 1533-position model. The record is from RNAcentral.